AGAUGGAGUAAAGCAUGUCGGCUUUGCACGAUAAUGAUGCACCAACUGGUAAAGGGGAAUUCGGAUGCUAAUUAGCUUCCCUUUAGGACUUCCUUUGAGAAGUGCUUUUAAGCCGCCAGAGCAGCUGUCUGAUAUAGAAAAUAACAAAGCAGAGGAACUACAUCAGGAGAUCACACGAGAUACCUGUAGGACACGCCAUAAGAAAGAAAAGAGAAAUGGGAAAGAGGGUCACUCGCUCAUUUAAAGAAUCUGAAAGGUACACUUCGGAACCUGAGUCCGCAAUCUGCUGCCAGCCCUCAUUCCCUAGACUGUGUUCACUUGAGAAGCUCCUACUCCUUCAUCUCACAUGGCACCUGCAGCCUUGUGAGGGUUUUGGAAGAGCAAGACUGCUACCGAUGUGCUGAUGUUCCGAUCUCCCACAGUCCACAAAAAACAACCAACAUUUUAAUAGAAGAAGAAUUUAUCUUUAGUGCUGUGCAGUUUGGCUCAUUGCUUUCCACUGUAAGUGUGAAUGUGCUUUGAUCUCAACCAAUUACAGUAUUUAGUUCCAAUUUCUCAAAACAAUGAUUUCUGUACUGGCUUCCUAAGGACAGGAGGAACUUGCAAAUUGUAUUUUAAACAUUUGUUUCUGGACAGAUCCUAAGCCUUAGGUGAGGGCUUUUUGAGUUUAAAAAAAUAGAUUAUCCAUUGCUGAUGUUUCACAAACAUGCAUUUCUGGGUGAGCUGGGGAGGAGGGGGUUUACAAAAAAUUAUAAGAUCAAGCAGUCCUUGAUAUAAUUGCAUCCACCCGUGUGUUUCCGGAAAAUCAGCACCGUAUCUGGUACUGUUUUAAAACUCCAGAGUGUCAGACUCCAGCAGUGAAGCACUAGUCUAUCACCGUGUUACUGUGGAUUGACAUUGUGAAACCAAUUUCAAUUAGCACUCAAACAACAUCUUUAUUCACAGGGCCCAUUCAUGCAGCACGUGUGUGUCAAAUUAAACACUGUGAAUGAUUCAUGUACUGCCAGAGUUUUUUAACAGGCGUUACUUACCUAGAUCCCCCCCAACAUCUGUUGAUGGUAUGAACAAUAUUCUUACAGUGAACAGCAAAUUAAAAUGAGCAAUCAGUAAUGCACAAUGUUACUUAAACCGAUCGAGCUCAGUCCUGGCUAAAAGCUUCAGUAGCCACAGCUGGGAAUUAGCCAGAUGGAUCUGGCUUAUUUGGAUGAACCUCCACGAGCAUACACAUCUCCUGGGAAGAACUCGUCAGUGAUGUCAUUGCCUACGUUGUGCGAAGCCUGGAAGUAAGCACAUCAGCUGGGGCUGAGGCACUGGGCUGUCUGGACAGAAAAUUCACUCUCACCCUGCAGGAGGACAGAAGUUCUGCUCUACUUUUCACCCACAACCACCAAAACUAGACCUCUGGAGGUCUAAAAUGAAACCUCGGAUUUGAUCUUAAAGAAGGGUUUUAAGGAUUGAAACACCUGAGACUAAAAAUAAUGAAAGAAGUAGAAUUUUGCAGAAUGUACCCAAUACUGUAUCAGUAAGGAAGGAAACUAAUUAGGAUGCAGCUUUUCAGAAAACCUUUUUACCCCUGACUCUUCAUGUUUUCUUGCCUGUUCUCUGCUAGGACAUUAGGGGUUAACUGUAAAGACUCUGAUUAGCAAGAGUACUAUACUUGCUUAUUUGAACUGGCAAUAGUUAGUCUAGAAUUAGUGAUAAUUAGGGUCUGUGAAACUACUGGCAAGUGUAAUCAUCUUAGACCUGUUCGGUUUUCACAGCCAAAUCACUAGUAUGACCCUUCUCUAUUUUACUGUGUGCAAUGAGCAAAUCACAGCCCAUUUACACUGUUCUACAGUAUAAAAGAUUUAAAGUGACUACAAAAUAAAUAUCUUCUUGGGUGUACUGACAUUAUUAACAUUAACAUUAACAUUAUAAACAUUUGUGAAGUGUGCGAACUGAAACUAUUUUCUCUGCACACAGAAAUAUAGCGAUUUCUAGGGGAGUUUAGUAUGUUGAAUUACAUUCAAUGACAGGAGACCAAAAGAUACAAAGCAAGAAGAUUCCCAUUUAUCCUCCUGGCAGCUGAAACAGAAAUAUCCAAAUACAUGACCUCAGCAGUUGCUACAUAAUGGGCUUGACCUCUUCCAUCCCGAACAGAGCAAAUCCCACAGACACAAGCAGCCACACAUCCCUCAGUGUCAGCAAUGGAAUUUCUGUCAUCUUACUGCCACAAGCACAAGAUCUGAAACAGUUUAAACAGAGGACUAGAGGACCAGGAAACAAAUGUAUUCUAGGCAUGGAAUGAGAACCGAUUAGUUCUAAACAGAAAGUACUGCAGAACAACUACCAGUAGCAAAAAACUUGACAUCUGAGAAGGCCUGUUGAGGGAUUAUCUCUUAGUUCAUAUAAGAGUUGAAUGACUUAUCUCUUCCACCCGACACAUGAUUUUCUUGAGAAAUCAUUUCCCUACGUGUGUAAUAUACUCUUUAUCAUAAAAAGAGGUGUGUAUUGUGAUGCAUGUAAAAACCCACAAGGUUACAACAUGUCAUCUAGCUAACAGUUCUUUGAUUGAUGAAGGCAUGAUUCAUAACUGGCACUUGCACAAAAUCCCUUGCUAUUGCGCCACUGUAGCAGUUGUUUACUCUUGCUGUGAAUUGUGAACUGUGAACUUGUGGUGUGCAACACAGACACCUGACACGCUGUACUACAGUUUGUGUAGACCCUAAAAGGUUCUGCAGAACCAAAACACACUGGGCUUCACAGGGAGCUCUCCCAUGAAGUAUGACACAUUGAGAACCUGGACUUGAAACCAAUGAAAUUAAUAAUUGACUCAAUGAUUUCACUACAGGCUCAAGUCUAAAGAAUGACCAUUGGUCCAUGACCAAGAAGAAGUGUAGCCUGUGUUGAUUUAUUCCUCUUCACAGCCAAAGAACCAACAACAACCCUUGGGUCUUCUGAUGAUAACUCUAUAAUUUAAUGAUAACUCUGUUUGGACUGUGAGUCACUUCCUUUCCAGAGAACACCAGCACUGCACACCCCACCACUGGCCUGCCAUGUGAAUCCCGACUACAAUCCACCGGGAAAUUACCUGCAGGAAGCGCACUGCAAAGCUGAAACAAUUGGGUGAAUUACAGUGUACGACGAGGUUCUGUGUAGAAUACACUGAGACAGCUGUUUUAAAACAGAGAAACUCUGUGACCCCUGCCUCUUGUAAGCUUUAAUAACCUGUUAUUUUCUAAGUACUUCUCUAUAAUUUGUGAUGAGACCACAACAUUUCAGAUGAAGCAAUAAAGGUUAACUAUUCUUAUUGUUAUAAUGCAGUAUACUACAUUUCUGCCAUUGACAACAGUGCUCUGCAGUACAAGAAACAUGUUUUUGGACCAUUACAGUAUAUGGCAUAAUGUUUGAAAUGUACCUGUUAUGAGUCAUUAGUUAAAUCACA
RNAcentral lists this long non-coding RNA (3424 nucleotides) under Lepisosteus oculatus (spotted gar). Its description in RNAcentral is "lncRNA (ENSLOCG00000022587.1)". Lineage: Eukaryota; Metazoa; Chordata; Actinopteri; Semionotiformes; Lepisosteidae. The record is from RNAcentral.